RNAcentral lists this small nuclear RNA (21 nucleotides) under Arabidopsis thaliana (thale cress). RNAcentral's name for it is "snRNA_19145". The record is from RNAcentral. Lineage: Eukaryota; Viridiplantae; Streptophyta; Magnoliopsida; Brassicales; Brassicaceae.
GGCGUCAAUCCUCUCAAAGAA